Molecule: unclassified non-coding RNA, 314 nt
Filed under: plant metagenome
Description: partial contains 5.8S ribosomal RNA, internal transcribed spacer 2, and large subunit ribosomal RNA
Rfam family: 5.8S ribosomal RNA (bases 1-105)
Source: RNAcentral
GAAAUGCGAUAAUUAAUGUGAAUUGCAGAAUUCAGUGAAUCAUCGAGUCUUUGAACGCACAUUGCGCCCCCUGGUAUUCCGGGGGGCAUACCUGUCCGAGCGUCAUUGCUGCCCUCAAGCACGGCUUGUGUGUUGGGCUUCCGUCCCUGGCAACGGGGACGGGCCCAAAAGGCAGUGGCGGCACCAUGUCUGGUCCUCGAGCGUAUGGGGCUUUGUCACCCGCUCCCGUAGGUCCAGCUGGCAGCUAGCCUCGCAACCAAUCUUUUUAACCAGGUUGACCUCGGAUCAGGUAGGGAUACCCGCUGAACUUAAGC